Nycticebus coucang (slow loris) is the source of this 1043-nucleotide long non-coding RNA. RefSeq lists it as uncharacterized. Lineage: Eukaryota; Metazoa; Chordata; Mammalia; Primates; Lorisidae. The record is from RefSeq and is a predicted model, not a curated record. The transcript has 3 exons.
GCAGUGGAUGCAGAGUCAGGAAGGCUCCUCCCACCCACAACACCCUCUUCCCCCGUGAGCCUGGCAAAGAACACUCCAAAGCCCAGAAUCCAACCCCUCUGUUCCCACCCCUGGCCUGGCCUCCAGGCCACAGUGGCCUCUGCCUGAGCCACAGGUUGGGCAAGGCUUCCGUCCCCACCCCCCGAGCCCAGGCAGAGCAGGUCCCAGCAUGCAACCGGCAUCCUCUUCCAGGAGGACUCCAUCUGCAGCACCUUGUGUGGGCCCCAGGGAGGGAGUUCGGCUCUCACCGGCUGCAUCUGGGGUGCAGGGUAAGGCCGAGGGCCAAUUUGGAUAGUGACACUCAAGCCUGCCUAGAGCUCAGCCUUUCCCAGUCCUGACUACAGAGAUGAAUGGAGAGAACUUGGUCGGGAGGAAGGACCCAAGGAAAGGCAGCCUGGAUGAGGAAGCCAGACUGGCUCUGAUAAUCUUCAAAUCUCUUGGAAGCUCUGGAUCCAGUCCUGUGUUGGGGAAAUGAGACCAGAGAGGCACAGAAGAUGCACAAGAAGUCAAUAGCAUUGGCCCAGGACUGGCUCAACACCUGUAGUGUUCUCUGGGACACUAAGACAGGUGGAUUGCUUGAGCGCAGAAGUUCCAAACUAGCCUGAGCCAGAGCAAGACCCUGUCUCUACUAAAAAUAGAAAAAUUAGCUGGAGGUGGUGAAAUCUGUUGUCCUAGCUACUUAGAAGGCUGAAGCAAUAGGACCGCCUGAACCCAGGAGAUGGAGGUUGCUGUGAGCUAUAGUACCCCGGCACUCAGGGUGAUGGAGUCUAAAAAAAAAAAAAUAGCAUCAUCUGAGAGGAACAGAAGACCCAAUACUUCCACUUGUAGGAACACAAGCAUCUUUGCUUUCCUUGUUACACAUACACACACAUUCUAGGCAAGAAAACCCAGAACCAUUUACACCUGCAGUCACCCACACCCAUCCUGUGGCCACAUCAUCAUACUCAAGUUGUAUUCACAUCACCACAAACACAGUGUCCCACAAUCACCGUCUCCCAAAAUCU